CCGAGUCCGGGCUCUCCGCGAGCCCUCACUCCCACCCGUGUCUACCGUUACCGCGUUGCUUUGGCGGGCCCACUGGAGCCUGCUGGCCCCGGUCGCCGGGGGGCCUUUGCCCCCGGGCCCGCGCCCGCCGAAGCACCCCUGAACCCUGUGUGAAUAGUGAGUCUGAGUCGCGAUGAAAUCGUUA
This 184-nucleotide unclassified non-coding RNA is filed under the name uncultured Talaromyces. RNAcentral's name for it is "sequence contains ITS1". Lineage: Eukaryota; Fungi; Ascomycota; Eurotiomycetes; Eurotiales; Trichocomaceae. The record is from RNAcentral.